GACGUAGGGGGCGAGCGUUGUCCGGAUUUAUUGGGCGUAAAGCGCGCGUAGGCGGCCCGGAAAGUCGGAUGUGAAAACCCGGGGCUCAACCCCGGGCCUGCAUCCGAUACUCCCGGGCUGGAGGCAGGUAGGGGAGAUCGGAAUUCCUGGUGUAGCGGUGAAAUGUGUAGAGAUCGGGAGGAACACCGGUGGCGAAGGCGGUCUUCUGGACGGUGACUGACGCUGAGACGCGAAAGCGUGGGGAGCGAACAGG
RNAcentral lists this ribosomal RNA (253 nucleotides) under uncultured bacterium. RNAcentral's name for it is "partial 16S ribosomal RNA". It matches the Rfam family "Bacterial small subunit ribosomal RNA", at positions 524 to 776 of the family's 1533-position model. The record is from RNAcentral.